UUGACACAAUAAGACAAAAAUAGAACAAGUUAGAAGAACUCAGAAGUAUACCUAAACAACCAUUUAUGGUACAAGUUAAAUUUUGUAUGCAGGAAAACAGAUAUUUUAAAUACGAAGCCAAGAUAUACAAGUUAACAGAGGCCAACGACACCAGCUCCAGAUGCUGAUAUAGCACUGGGCCGGAUGUGCUUACGAGUUAACAGGGAUCAGCAAAAUGCAGUAUAACACCAACCACAGAUGCUGACAUAGCGCAUGGAUGUUCUUGCACGACGACAGCGUACGAGGCGCAAGCUACGCAUUCUAGCGGCCGUUGUGAAACGGCUUAGAGGCAUAUAUGCCUGGCGGUUCGCGCAUAAAUUAACUCACUUGCUACGGCGUAUCGGCCUAGUGUUUUACCCAAAUAAUAAAAUAAUCAAAAUAAAGUCCUAUAACGAAAAUCCGCGAGGACUUCUUAUUUAAAUCUUAAUUGGCGCCCAACGUUUUUCGGACCAUUUUGUGUUGUAACUAUUUUGUGUGCCGUACAGUGUAAAGAACUAAUCUACCAGUACAAGACACUUCGCGCUGUGUAAUAGCAAUACCCAAACUACCAGUGGAAACAAUAAAAGUUGUGCCUGACCUACAUCAAUUUACGUCAGCGGUACAAGUCCAAUAAAAAUCCAUUUGAUACACCGAAACCGCUGGAGCUCUUGAGGCAGCGACUUGUCACCAAACCAGCGCGCAAGGGGGUUUGGGCAGCGAAGUAAACCAGCACCAAUAGACUUCAGCGAGGGAUCAUAAAAAAGCAUUCGUGACUGCAGCGUGGGAAGCCGAAGUUUUAGACGUAGAGCAUACAAUCCUUGUAGGAACAAAUAAAAUGUAAGUGGGCCAUUAUUUGGCACAAUCUUUUUUCAA
Non-coding RNA from Drosophila virilis, 891 nucleotides. The record is from RefSeq and is a predicted model, not a curated record. NCBI's taxonomy places the organism in Eukaryota, Metazoa, Arthropoda, Insecta, Diptera, Drosophilidae.